AUCGUUGACCUAACCAAAUCGACUCACCAUUAACAGUCAUGAACAACUUUCCUAACUGCGUAACUAACAGCUGUUUUCGUCCUUAAACCAACGAUAACGACUGUUAGCCCAUGUUUUGUAAUGGCUGUUAGGAGCGUUGUUAAGAAGUGUUAACGGUGAAUCGAUUUGCCCUGAUCAACGAU
This 182-nucleotide microRNA precursor is filed under the name Arabidopsis thaliana (thale cress). RNAcentral describes it as "MIR5635 microRNA precursor family". It matches the Rfam family "MIR5635 microRNA precursor family". The record is from Rfam by way of RNAcentral. Lineage: Eukaryota; Viridiplantae; Streptophyta; Magnoliopsida; Brassicales; Brassicaceae.